UUGGGGCUACAGCUCAGUGGUAGAGCAUUUGCUAGCAUGUAUAAGGUACUGGGUUCAAUCCCCAGCAAUCAAA
This 73-nucleotide transfer RNA is filed under the name Marmota monax (woodchuck). Its description in RNAcentral is "tRNA.Undet". The record is from RNAcentral. Lineage: Eukaryota; Metazoa; Chordata; Mammalia; Rodentia; Sciuridae.